This is a non-coding RNA of Acinetobacter sp. CAG:196, 73 nucleotides long. The record is from Rfam. Lineage: Bacteria; Pseudomonadati; Pseudomonadota; Gammaproteobacteria; Moraxellales; Moraxellaceae.
GGGCGUUUGGCGCAGUUGGUAGCGCAUCUGAACGACAUUCAGAGGGUCACAAGUUCGAGUCUUGUAACGCCCA